Long non-coding RNA from Phyllostomus discolor (pale spear-nosed bat), 171 nucleotides. RefSeq lists it as uncharacterized. NCBI's taxonomy places the organism in Eukaryota, Metazoa, Chordata, Mammalia, Chiroptera, Phyllostomidae. The transcript is spliced from 3 exons. The record is from RefSeq and is a predicted model, not a curated record.
AAAAUGAAAAAUGUGAAUCAGAGCAAUAUUCCACUUUUAUAAGCUAAUGAAAACUUAACAUGUAAGGGAUGAGUGUCUUGACACUGACCACAGUAAGUCUAACAAUCUAACCUUGUGACUGACCCGGAUUGUACUUUGUGUGCAAUAGUAGUUUUCUGCCUGAUUCAAAUA